RNAcentral lists this ribosomal RNA (443 nucleotides) under uncultured bacterium. RNAcentral describes it as "bacterial SSU rRNA". It matches the Rfam family "Bacterial small subunit ribosomal RNA", at positions 958 to 1399 of the family's 1533-position model. The record is from RNAcentral.
AACGCGAAGAACCUUACCUGGCCUUGACAUGCAAAUAGUAGAAGGGUGAAAGCCUGACGAGGUAGCAAUACCAGUUUGCACAGGUGCUGCAUGGCUGUCGUCAGCUCGUGUCGUGAGAUGUUGGGUUAAGUCCCGCAACGAGCGCAACCCUUAUCCCCAGUUGCCAUCAUUAAGUUGGGCACUCUGGUGAAACCGCCUCGGAUAACGGGGAGGAAGGUGGGGAUGACGUCAAGUCCUCAUGGCCUUUAUGUCCAGGGCUACACACGUGCUACAAUGGCCGGUACAAACCGUCGCAAACCCGCGAGGGGGAGCUAAUCGGAAAAAGCCGGCCUCAGUUCGGAUCGCAGUCUGCAACUCGACUGCGUGAAGCUGGAAUCGCUAGUAAUCGCGGAUCAGAAUGCCGCGGUGAAUACGUUCCCGGGCCUUGUACACACCGCUCGCGA